GAGAAGUUAGAACAAAUAUAUAAGCAGAGAUUACAAAGAAAUUCUGAAGUUAGGAAGAAGUUAGGAAGGUAUAAUGAAAUAUAGUAAAUAAUGAAGUUUACUAAAAAAAAAAAAUGGCGUAAUUAAUAUAAGAUGAGAGUACAUAAAUAAUAAGUUAGAGAAGACAAAAUGAAAUUGAAUAUUGUAGAGAAAAAGACAGUUUGAGUUAAUAAAUGAAUAUGAACCAGUUAGGAAGGUUAAAAGGAAGAAAACAAGGCACCAGUUAGGGUUGGUGUGGGGUGGGGUGGGCACCAGAUGUCGCUUCAAGAGGGGGUGACCUGGUUUGUGUCACCCCCGCCAGAAGACUUGACCCCGGCCGCCGUGUCAGGUCAAACUGGGUCACAGAGGCGUAGGGUCAUGUAACAGGCUCAAAAGGUCAAAGUGAUUUAGGUCAUGGUGGAAUCUGGAGGUCAUAAUCGAGGUUGGUUAGGUUAGGUUAAGUUAGCUGAGGUCACAGUGGAGAGAGAUGUGGUAAGCUAGGUCAAAUUAGGUUAGGUUAGGUUAGCUGAGGUCACAGUGGAGAGAAAUGUGUUAAGUUAGGUCAAACUAGGUCAGAACAUAGUGUAGUUCAUUAGCGGUACAUUAGGUUAGGUGAGGUCAAGGAGGUGAGGAGGAAAUGAGUGUAGAUGAAGUUAGGUUAGGUUAGCUCAGGUCACAGUUAGGUCAAACUAGGUCAGAACAUAGUGCAGUUCAUUAGCGGUACAUUAGGUUAGGUGAGGUCAAGGAGGUGAGGGGGGAAAUGAGUGUAGAUGAAGUUAGGUUAGGUUAGCUCAGGUCACAGUUAGGUCAAAUUAGGUCGAAACAUAGUGCAGUUCAUUAGCGGUACAUUAGGUUAGGUGAGAUCAAGGAGGUGAGGGAAAAAUGAGUGUAGAUGAAGUUAGGUUAGGUUAGCUCAGGUCACAGUGGGGUCAAACUAGGUCAGAACAUAGUGCAGUUCAUUAGCGGUACAUUAGGUUAGGUGAGGUCAAGGAGGUGAGGG
Molecule: long non-coding RNA, 1018 nt
Organism: Portunus trituberculatus (swimming crab)
Lineage: Eukaryota; Metazoa; Arthropoda; Malacostraca; Decapoda; Portunidae
Exons: 2
Source: RefSeq, a predicted model, not a curated record